GGGCCCGUAGCCUAGUUGGAUAAGGCGUCGAGUCAACCGAAAAGUUGGCGCGCAAGCCUUCGGAGCCGAAGACCCAGGGUUCAAAUCCCUGCGGGCCCGCCA
Molecule: transfer RNA, 102 nt
Filed under: Candidatus Bathyarchaeota archaeon
Lineage: Archaea; Thermoproteati; Candidatus Bathyarchaeota
Description: tRNA-OTHER
Rfam family: tRNA
About the family: Transfer RNA (tRNA) molecules are approximately 80 nucleotides in length.
Source: RNAcentral